Molecule: ribosomal RNA, 393 nt
Filed under: uncultured bacterium
Lineage: Bacteria
Description: bacterial SSU rRNA
Rfam family: Bacterial small subunit ribosomal RNA
Source: RNAcentral
UAAUACGAAGGUGGCAAGCGUUGUUCGGAUUUACUGGGCGUAAAGGGAGCGUAGGCGGUCUGGUAAGCCCUCCGGGAAAUCUCCCGGCCUAACCGGGAAAGGUCGGAGGGGACUGCUUGACUAGAGGGCGGGAGAGGAGCGCGGAAUUCCCGGUGUAGCGGUGAAAUGCGUAGAGAUCGGGAGGAAGGCCGGUGGCGAAGGCGGCGCUCUGGAACGAUCCUGACGCUGAGGCUCGAAAGCGUGGGGAGCAAACAGGAUUAGAUACCCUGGUAGUCCACGCCCUAAACGAUGGACACUAAGUGUCGGCAGGUUACUGCCGGUGCCGCAGCUAACGCAUUAAGUGUCCCGCCUGGGGAGUACGGCCGCAAGGUUGAAACUUAAAUGAAUUGACGG